GACGAACGCUGGCGGCGUGCUUAACACAUGCAAGUCGAGCGGUAAGGCCCUUUCGGGGGUACACGAGCGGCGAACGGGUGAGUAACACGUGGGUGACCUGCCCUCAGCUCUGGGAUAAGCCCGGGAAACCGGGUCUAAUACCGGAUAUGACUCCAUGACGCAUGUUGUGGGGUGGAAAGCCUUGUGCGGCUGAGGAUGGGCCCGCGGCCUAUCAGCUUGUUGGUGGGGUGAUGGCCUACCAAGGCGACGACGGGUAGCCGGCCUGAGAGGGCGACCGGCCACACUGGGACUGAGACACGGCCCAGACUCCUACGGGAGGCAGCAGUGGGGAAUCUUGCGCAAUGGGCGAAAGCCUGACGCAGCGACGCCGCGUGAGGGAUGAC
This 383-nucleotide ribosomal RNA is filed under the name uncultured bacterium. Its description in RNAcentral is "bacterial SSU rRNA". It matches the Rfam family "Bacterial small subunit ribosomal RNA", at positions 28 to 412 of the family's 1533-position model. The record is from RNAcentral.